This 497-nucleotide ribosomal RNA is filed under the name uncultured bacterium. RNAcentral describes it as "partial 16S ribosomal RNA". It matches the Rfam family "Bacterial small subunit ribosomal RNA", at positions 28 to 507 of the family's 1533-position model. The record is from RNAcentral.
GAUGAACGCUGGCGGCGUGCCUAAUACAUGCAAGUCGAGCGAACAGACGAGGAGCUUGCUCCUCUGACGUUAGCGGCGGACGGGUGAGUAACACGUGGAUAACCUACCUAUAAGACUGGGAUAACUUCGGGAAACCGGAGCUAAUACCGGAUAAUAUAUUGAACCGCAUGGUUCAAUAGUGAAAGACGGUUUUGCUGUCACUUAUAGAUGGAUCCGCGCCGCAUUAGCUAGUUGGUAAGGUAACGGCUUACCAAGGCAACGAUGCGUAGCCGACCUGAGAGGGUGAUCGGCCACACUGGAACUGAGACACGGUCCAGACUCCUACGGGAGGCAGCAGUAGGGAAUCUUCCGCAAUGGGCGAAAGCCUGACGGAGCAACGCCGCGUGAGUGAUGAAGGUCUUCGGAUCGUAAAACUCUGUUAUUAGGGAAGAACAAAUGUGUAAGUAACUAUGCACGUCUUUACGGUACCUAAUCAGAAAGCCACGGCUAACUACGUG